This 504-nucleotide ribosomal RNA is filed under the name uncultured bacterium. RNAcentral describes it as "partial 16S ribosomal RNA". It matches the Rfam family "Bacterial small subunit ribosomal RNA", at positions 28 to 523 of the family's 1533-position model. The record is from RNAcentral.
GAUGAACGCUAGCGACAGGCCUAACACAUGCAAGUCGAGGGGCAGCACAUGAGUAGCAAUACGAUGGUGGCGACCGGCGCACGGGUGAGUAACACGUAUGCAACCUGCCUUCUACUAUGGGAUAACCCGUUGAAAGACGGACUAAUACCGUAUAAUACAGGGUCUCCGCAUGGAGAUAUUUGUUAAAGAUUUAUUGGUAGAAGAUGGGCAUGCGUAUGAUUAGAUAGUUGGUGAGGGCACGGCUCACCAAGUCAACGAUCAUUAGGGGUUCUGAGAGGCAGGUCCCCCACACUGGUACUGUGACACGGACCAGACUCCUACGGGAGGCAGCAGUGAGGAAUAUUGGUCAAUGGACGAGAGUCUGACCCAGCCAAGUCGCGUGAAGGAAGACGGUUCUAUGAAUUGUAAACUUCUUUUGUGCAGGAAUAAAGUGGGUUACGUGUAACCUUUUGUAUGUACUGUACGAAUAAGGAUCGGCUAACUCCGUGCCAGCCGCCGCCGUAA